UACGUAGGGUGCGAGCGUUAAUCGGAAUUACUGGGCGUAAAGCGUGCGUAGGCGGUUUCGCAAGUCCGCUGUGAAAGCCCCGGGCUUAACCUGGGAAUGGCGUUUGGGACUGGGUCGCUAGAGUGUGGCAGAGGGAGGUGGAAUUCCACGUGUAGCAGUGAAAUGCGUAGAGAUGUGGAGGAACACCGAUGGCGAAGGCAGCCUCCUGGGCCAGCACUGACGCUCAUGCACGAAAGCGUGGGGAGCAAACAGG
RNAcentral lists this ribosomal RNA (253 nucleotides) under uncultured bacterium. RNAcentral's name for it is "partial 16S ribosomal RNA". It matches the Rfam family "Bacterial small subunit ribosomal RNA", at positions 524 to 776 of the family's 1533-position model. The record is from RNAcentral.